AGCGAACGCUGGCGGCAGGCUUAACACAUGCAAGUCGAGCGGGCACUUUCGGGUGUCAGCGGCGGACGGGUGAGUAACGCGUGGGAACGUGCCCUCUGGUUCGGAAUAACUCAGGGAAACUUGAGCUAAUACCGGAUACGCCCUUUUGGGGAAAGGCUUGCUGCGGGAGGAUCGGGCGGCGUCUGAUUAGCUAGUUGGUGAGGUAACGGCGCACCAAGGCGACGAUCAGUAGCUGGUCUGUGAGGAUGAUCAGCCACACUGGGACUGAGACACGGCCGAGACUCCUACGGGAGGGAGCAGUGGGGAAUAUUGGAAAAUGGGCGCAAGCCUGAUCCAGCCAUGCCGCGUGAGUGAUGAAGGCCUUAGGGUUGUAAAGCUCUUUUAUCCGGGACGAUAAUGACGGUACCGGAGGAAUAAGCCCCGGCUAACUUCGUG
RNAcentral lists this ribosomal RNA (435 nucleotides) under uncultured bacterium. RNAcentral describes it as "partial 16S ribosomal RNA". It matches the Rfam family "Bacterial small subunit ribosomal RNA", at positions 29 to 507 of the family's 1533-position model. The record is from RNAcentral.